This is a long non-coding RNA of Bos taurus (domestic cattle), 1759 nucleotides long. The record is from Ensembl. NCBI's taxonomy places the organism in Eukaryota, Metazoa, Chordata, Mammalia, Artiodactyla, Bovidae.
AAGCUAAACCCUGCCUGGGGCCUCCCUGCCCAGAAAGGGCAGGAAAGGAGAGUUAAGGAGGAUUUAGAGACCCGCCCACCUGCUGAGAGAUUAGAUGAGAUCAAUAUACAGAGAGCUGGGCCAAGAUCCCCUGGAGGGGCUCGUUAAGACCCGUGACCCUGAGAGGUAAUUAACAGGCUUGCAGGGGUUGGGCGGGAGUACCACCCCACCCCCACCCAAGUACUCAAGCAGCCCCCAAAUCGAGGGCUGGAGUCCCGGCUCCCUUCUUACUCCUCCACACCAGCCCUCGGUUCGGAAUCUGGGUCUCAUCCAGACGGGGCACAGAAAAGUGGAGGAGCUUGUCCAAGGUCACAUCACCAGUAAAUGAUGAAGACUUCCGUGGUCAGAGGAUGAGAUGGUUGGAUGGCAUCACCGACUCGGUGGACAUGAGUUUGAGUAAGCUCCAGGAGUUGGUGAUGGACAGGGAAGCCUGGCGUGCUGCAGUCCGUGGGGUCGCAAAGAGUUGGACAGGGCUGAGCGACUGAACUGAACUCCCUGGUGGUCCAGUGAUUAAGAAUCCAUCUGUCAAUGCAGGGGACACGGGUUCUAUCCUUGGCCCGGGAAGACCCCAUACCCCGCAGGGCAACUAAGCCGGCGCACCACAACUUCUGAGCCUGCGCUCUAGAGCCCUUGAACCGGAACUACUGCGCCUGAACGCUGCAGCUACUGAAGUCCAUGCGCCUAGAGCCUGUGCUCCACAACAAAGGAAACUGCCGCAACGAGAAGCCAGGGCACCACAACAGAGAGCGGCCCCCACUCGAGGCAACUAGAGAAAGCCCACAAAGCAACAAACACCUGUGCAACCAAAAAUAAAAAUAAUUAAUUUAAAAAAAAAGUGAUGAAUCUGGGAUUCAAAUCCAGGCCCUUGGGAACCAAAGCUUGGGCCCCCACCCUUGUGAACUACAGUUUCUUUUACUUUCUCUGCAUCCCCUGACCUGCUCAGACUGCUAGACAAGGUAACACCAAUAACACCACCAUAUCGUCCCCAGUCAUUUUUAUGGCACCUUUAACCACUUAGAAGUCAACUGAGCAUCCAGAUGAAAGGAAAAAGUAGCUAGGCAAUGAAGCACGUACUACCAGCCAAAGCACAUAGCCCAGAAGGUCUAUAAGCUCCAGGAAGAUGGGGAUCCCAUUAAUCUUACCUUGAGAAGCAUAAAGACCAGCAUGGGGUGAGUGGUCAGUAUCUUUUAGUGGAGAUGAAUCGGACUCAUGGUUGUGGCCCUGACAUAUAGCCUAUGUACUCAUAGAAUGGCAACCCACUCCAGUGUUCUUGCCUGGAGAAUCCCAGGGACGGCAGAGCCUGGUGGGCUGCUGUCUCUGGGGUCACACAGAGUCGGACACGACUGAAGCGACUUAGCAGCAGCAGCAGCAGUGAUAGUGAAGUCACUCAGUCGUGUCCGACUCUUUGCGACCCCAUGGACAGUAGCCAACCAGGCUCCUCCGUCCAUGGGAUUUUCCAGGCAAGAGUACUGGAGUGGGUUGCCAUUUGCUUCUCCAGGGGAUCUUCCCAGCCCAGGGAUCGAACCCGGGUCUCCUGCGUUGUAGGCAGACGCUUUACCAUCUGAGCUACCAGGGAAGUCACAUUUACUCAUAGUUUAGACAUAAUAAUAACUACCAUAAUAGUUGGUUAUGUUAAAUGAGCGAAGGGAACUAAUCAAGGUGGACAAACCAACAGUGAUGAAGGCAAGAGAUGGGAGGAAAUCUUGCCUGAGUCUGGAUU